CAGGUGCAACAGGUAGUUGCUGGUGACAUCUUUGUCACGAGAGGAAAGUCCGGGCUGCAAGCAAAGCAGGGCUCCAUCUAACAGAUGGCCAGAGUAAUCUGAGGGCAAGUGCAACAGAGAGUAUGAAAACCAUGUUUAUGUGGUAAAAGGUGAAAGGGUGGGGUAAGAGCCCACCAGUGCUUAUGGUAACAUAGGCAGCUAGGUAAACCCUGUCCGCAGCAAGAAGUAUAUGGUAUAAGCUUUGCAAGCUGUUGACUCAGCACACAUACUUCGCUCGAGCGUAGUGGCAACACUACGCCUAGAUAAAUAACUACCCACGACAAAACCCGGCUUAUCGUUGCACCUUUUUC
RNAcentral lists this RNase P RNA (350 nucleotides) under Campylobacterota bacterium. Its description in RNAcentral is "Epsilonproteobacteria bacterium (hydrothermal vent metagenome) RNase P RNA component class A". It matches the Rfam family "Bacterial RNase P class A". Rfam says of the family: Ribonuclease P (RNase P) is a ubiquitous endoribonuclease, found in archaea, bacteria and eukarya as well as chloroplasts and mitochondria. Its best characterised activity is the generation of mature 5'-ends of tRNAs by cleaving the 5'-leader elements of precursor-tRNAs. The record is from RNAcentral. Lineage: Bacteria; Pseudomonadati; Campylobacterota.